Long non-coding RNA from Cavia porcellus (domestic guinea pig), 724 nucleotides. RefSeq lists it as uncharacterized. Lineage: Eukaryota; Metazoa; Chordata; Mammalia; Rodentia; Caviidae. The record is from RefSeq and is a predicted model, not a curated record. The transcript is spliced from 2 exons.
GCAUGGUAAAAGAUUAAAGUCAGAGGCAGCAACUGAAAUUUCACAGUAUCUCUGAAGCCGAUGGCCGAUGGAAGGGUGCUGGGAGAAACCAGGUCCAACCCUCUCCUUUAACCAACAGCCUUCCUGCAUAGCCUUAGGGUCUCUGACCCUCCCGCAUUGCUUACCUGCCCGCCGACCAGGUACUGGAGGCCAGGAGGCGCUGCAACCGCCGCCGGACCGCCCACAACGACCGCGCAGCCAUGUUCCAGACUUGGGAGGACCGAUGUGGCGCAAGCGCACUCACUCCAAGUGAAGCGCGCUCUCCCUUAAAAGCCACGCCUCCCGGCAGCCUUUGAGAGCGGUUCCACUAGGGGACUUCCGGACGGGAACGCUGCACUUCCGAUCGUCAGGUGCUCCGCACAGUUCUUCCGGGCAGGACACUGCUGGUUUAGAGUGGCGGGAACUGGUCUUAACGACGAAGCUUGAUGCUAGGCACAGGUUCGUGGCGGACAAAGCGGAAUACGCCCUGCGCACAUAGAGUGUAUGUGAAGUUAUAAAUGAUAAAAGCUCGGUAUGAUAUCAAAAUGUAUCUGGUGUUUAAAAAAGAGGGUCACAGUGCUGCGAAAGCAGGCUGGACAGGACCAGAUCACGUGAAAGAUGAAAAUAAUUACAGCUUUCCUAUUUUUCUUUGCUUUUCACUCCAGUGUAUUUGCCGACUUAAUUAAAAAAAACACGGUGUGCAGUA